RNAcentral lists this ribosomal RNA (484 nucleotides) under uncultured Oxalobacteraceae bacterium. RNAcentral's name for it is "bacterial SSU rRNA". It matches the Rfam family "Bacterial small subunit ribosomal RNA", at positions 30 to 507 of the family's 1533-position model. Lineage: Bacteria; Pseudomonadati; Pseudomonadota; Betaproteobacteria; Burkholderiales; Oxalobacteraceae. The record is from RNAcentral.
AUUGAACGCUGGCGGCAUGCCUUACACAUGCAAGUCGAACGGCAGCACGGGGGCAACCCUGGUGGCGAGUGGCGAACGGGUGAGUAAUAUAUCGGAACGUACCCUAGAGUGGGGGAUAACGUAGCGAAAGUUACGCUAAUACCGCAUACGAUCUACGGAUGAAAGUGGGGGCUCGCAAGACCUCAUGCUCAUGGAGCGGCCGAUAUCUGAUUAGCUAGUUGGUGGGGUAAAGGCCUACCAAGGCGACGAUCAGUAGCUGGUCUGAGAGGACGACCAGCCACACUGGGACUGAGACACGGCCCAGACUCCUACGGGAGGCAGCAGUGGGGAAUUUUGGACAAUGGGCGAAAGCCUGAUCCAGCCAUGCCGCGUGAGUGAAGAAGGCCUUCGGGUUGUAAAGCUCUUUCGGCCGGGAAGAAAUCGCAUCUCCUAAUACGGGGUGCGGAUGACGGUACCGGCAUAAGAAGCACCGGCUAACUACGUG